CUCCCGCCGGCGACCGGCGCACGGGUGAGUAACACGUAUGAAACCUGCCCGUAGCAGGGGGAUAAGCGGAAGAAAUUCCGUCUAAUACCGCGUAACAACCCGAGGAGGCAUCUCCUCGGGUUUAAAGGAAGCGAUUCCGGCUACGGAUGGUCAUGCGUCGCAUUAGCUAGUUGGCGGGGUAACGGCCCACCAGGGCGACGAUGCGUAGGGGUUCUGAGAGGAAGGUCCCCCGCACUGGUACUGAGACACGGACCAGACUCCUACGGAAGGCAGCAG
This 276-nucleotide ribosomal RNA is filed under the name uncultured bacterium. RNAcentral's name for it is "partial 16S ribosomal RNA". It matches the Rfam family "Bacterial small subunit ribosomal RNA", at positions 82 to 354 of the family's 1533-position model. The record is from RNAcentral.